Polistes dominula (European paper wasp) is the source of this 367-nucleotide long non-coding RNA. The record is from RefSeq and is a predicted model, not a curated record. NCBI's taxonomy places the organism in Eukaryota, Metazoa, Arthropoda, Insecta, Hymenoptera, Vespidae.
GUCGUUGUCCUCAGUCGAUUCUUCGAAUUCUACUCUCUCUCUCUCUCUCUCUCUCUCUCUCAUACUCUCUCUCAUUUUCUCUUUUCCUAUCUCAAAAUCUUUCUUUCCAGUUUCGAGAGGAUACCCUUUUAUACGUACUUCACUAUUAUAGUAGUGUACUACUAUGUAUACUUGAAUACCACUACAAUUAAGUCUAACUACCAUUACUACUACUACUACAAUUAUUAUUACUACUACUACUACUACUACUUACCCCUUCUCCAGUCCCAAGCAGAUGUUACAGAAACAAGAAAGGUCAUACCAUUCCUGCACCGAUCCCACAACAAGCAGGAACGGCAAGAAUAUUGAACACCGCCGAUCCGACGAU